Molecule: non-coding RNA, 114 nt
Organism: Xyrichtys novacula (pearly razorfish)
Lineage: Eukaryota; Metazoa; Chordata; Actinopteri; Labriformes; Labridae
Source: the annotation of a GenBank genome assembly
UUUGACAAUGAUGAGUUGCACUUUUUGACUGGUUUGCUGGUGGCAGUUGCACUGCAGAUCUGUCCUGAUUCUCUGUGGCGACACCCGAUGUGCACAGGGGCCAUCUGAGUCACC